RNAcentral lists this transfer RNA (72 nucleotides) under Camelus bactrianus (Bactrian camel). It matches the Rfam family "tRNA". From Rfam's summary of the family: Transfer RNA (tRNA) molecules are approximately 80 nucleotides in length. Their secondary structure includes four short double-helical elements and three loops (D, anti-codon, and T loops). RNAcentral also lists the same sequence under 1 other name. Lineage: Eukaryota; Metazoa; Chordata; Mammalia; Artiodactyla; Camelidae. The record is from Rfam by way of RNAcentral.
GAGGGUACAGCUCAGUGGUAGAGUGUGUGCUUAGCAUGCAUAAGGUCCUGGGUUCAAUCCCCAGUAUCUCCA